RNAcentral lists this ribosomal RNA (618 nucleotides) under Triticum aestivum (bread wheat). RNAcentral describes it as "partial small subunit ribosomal RNA". Lineage: Eukaryota; Viridiplantae; Streptophyta; Magnoliopsida; Poales; Poaceae. The record is from RNAcentral.
AUGGCAAAAAGUGUGUGGGCGCUGCGGGAUGAUGAUUCUACCCUUCCGAUAUAUGGAGAUGAAACACAAGAUGCAAAGUUAUGGUUAUUCGGGAUAAGCGAGACUCUGUCCAACAAGAAGUUUAUCGAGGUGUUAGUCACUUUGUGGGCAAUAUGGUAUGCCCGGAGGAAAGCAAUUCAUGAGCAUGAAUUCCAAAGUCUAUUGUCGACGCAUCUAUUCAUCAGCAGAUACUUGGAGGAGCUUAAGGUGUUAGAUGUGGAGACCAAGACCAGGCAUGGGGCAGCUCGGGAGGUGCCUCGAUGGGUUCCUCCGCUCACAGGACAUUGCAAGAUCAACGUCGACGGAGCUGUGGCGAAGAUGCAAUGCAGAGGGGCCGUUGGGGCCGUAUGCCGGGAUGAACAAGGGCGUUUCCAAGGGGCCUCGGCAGUGGUGUUUGAGGGCAUCUCUGAUGCAGAAACCCUAGAAGCACUUGCAUGUCGAGAAGCACUAGCGCUGAGUGAGGACCUGGACCUGGAAAGAGUACAUAUUGCUACUGACUGUCUGAGAGUCGUCCGGGAAAUCGAAGCACCAAAGAACCUUGGUGGACAUUGUAUGAUGUUUCAUGAGAUCAAAGAAUGA